This 791-nucleotide ribosomal RNA is filed under the name Streptomyces sp. Its description in RNAcentral is "bacterial SSU rRNA". It matches the Rfam family "Bacterial small subunit ribosomal RNA", at positions 67 to 873 of the family's 1533-position model. The record is from RNAcentral. Lineage: Bacteria; Bacillati; Actinomycetota; Actinomycetes; Kitasatosporales; Streptomycetaceae.
CGAUGAAGCCCUUCGGGGUGGAUUAGUGGCGAACGGGUGAGUAACACGUGGGCAAUCUGCCCUGCACUCUGGGACAAGCCCUGGAAACGGGGUCUAAUACCGGAUACGACCACUGAGGGCAUCCUCGGUGGUGGAAAGCUCCGGCGGUGCAGGAUGAGCCCGCGGCCUAUCAGCUUGUUGGUGGGGUGAUGGCCUACCAAGGCGACGACGGGUAGCCGGCCUGAGAGGGCGACCGGCCACACUGGGACUGAGACACGGCCCAGACUCCUACGGGAGGCAGCAGUGGGGAAUAUUGCACAAUGGGCGCAAGCCUGAUGCAGCGACGCCGCGUGAGGGAUGACGGCCUUCGGGUUGUAAACCUCUUUCAGCAGGGAAGAAGCGAAAGUGACGGUACCUGCAGAAGAAGCGCCGGCUAACUACGUGCCAGCAGCCGCGGUAAUACGUAGGGCGCAAGCGUUGUCCGGAAUUAUUGGGCGUAAAGAGCUCGUAGGCGGCUUGUCGCGUCGGAUGUGAAAGCCCGGGGCUUAACCCCGGGUCUGCAUUCGAUACGGGCAGGCUAGAGUUCGGUAGGGGAGAUCGGAAUUCCUGGUGUAGCGGUGAAAUGCGCAGAUAUCAGGAGGAACACCGGUGGCGAAGGCGGAUCUCUGGGCCGAUACUGACGCUGAGGAGCGAAAGCGUGGGGAGCGAACAGGAUUAGAUACCCUGGUAGUCCACGCCGUAAACGUUGGGCACUAGGUGUGGGCAACAUUCCACGUUGUCCGUGCCGCAGCUAACGCAUUAAGUGCCCCGCC